This 749-nucleotide ribosomal RNA is filed under the name Cryocola sp. Its description in RNAcentral is "bacterial SSU rRNA". It matches the Rfam family "Bacterial small subunit ribosomal RNA", at positions 72 to 834 of the family's 1533-position model. The record is from RNAcentral. Lineage: Bacteria; Bacillati; Actinomycetota; Actinomycetes; Micrococcales; Microbacteriaceae.
CCUGGAGCUUGCUCUGGGGGAUUAGUGGCGAACGGGUGAGUAACACGUGAGUAACCUGCCCUUGACUCUGGGAUAACCUCCGGAAACGGAAGCUAAUACCGGAUAUGACGUACGGAGGCAUCUCCUGUGCGUGGAAAGAAUUUCGGUCAAGGAUGGACUCGCGGCCUAUCAGGUAGUUGGUGAGGUAACGGCUCACCAAGCCUACGACGGGUAGCCGGCCUGAGAGGGUGACCGGCCACACUGGGACUGAGACACGGCCCAGACUCCUACGGGAGGCAGCAGUGGGGAAUAUUGCACAAUGGGCGCAAGCCUGAUGCAGCAACGCCGCGUGAGGGACGACGGCCUUCGGGUUGUAAACCUCUUUUAGUAGGGAAGAAGCGAAAGUGACGGUACCUGCAGAAAAAGCACCGGCUAACUACGUGCCAGCAGCCGCGGUAAUACGUAGGGUGCAAGCGUUGUCCGGAAUUAUUGGGCGUAAAGAGCUCGUAGGCGGUUUGUCGCGUCUGCUGUGAAAACCCGAGGCUCAACCUCGGGCCUGCAGUGGGUACGGGCAGACUAGAGUGCGGUAGGGGAGAAUGGAAUUCCUGGUGUAGCGGUGGAAUGCGCAGAUAUCAGGAGGAACACCGAUGGCGAAGGCAGUUCUCUGGGCCGUAACUGACGCUGAGGAGCGAAAGCGUGGGGAGCGAACAGGAUUAGAUACCCUGGUAGUCCACGCCGUAAACGUUGGGCGCUAGAUGUGGGGACCAUUC